GAAGACGGGGAAGUUCUUUGUCAAGCAACAGAUGUUCAGGAUAAAAUUCCCUUUCUCUUCUUCCAGUUAUGGAGAAUUGAAAGGAACGAGGCGCUGCCCCUCCCCAACUUCCAGCUGGGCGCCUGAACCCCAGCCCUAGACCUCAACCCCAAGAUGCGCUCUUAAACCAAAUUCAUCCCCACUUACCCAAACUUGGAGUCUGGUACAAACACAAGAGGCUGGAAAGAAACCUGGGUGGCUGAGGUCCACUAGAAACGAGGGCGCAAACCCAAAUGUUGGGGAGGGCCCAACAAGUAGAUAUGACGAGGGGCCAGCUAAACUGAGCGGUCCUGUAUAUGCCAGCUGCCAGGAGUGCAGGCCCCAACCUGGCAGAUAGUCCCCUUACCUCCCCCGCCAAAUCAGGAAUUCAGAGGUCCAUGUUUCCGUUUCUGAACCACGGUAACUCAUUUUACAAAAACACUGCGCAAUUCAAACAAAUCUUGCCUAUACAUUGAAUGCUGGGUAAUGCCACCAAUAUAGAGAAGUUCUGUAGAACUUUCUGCAGCCAUAAAAAUGUUCUAUCUCUGGGCUGUCCAAUAGUGGGCAUUGAGACACUUGAUAUGUACCUAGUGUAACUAAGGUUUUGAAAUUUUAAUUUAUGUUCAAACUUAAAUAGCUACAUGUGGCCAGUGGUUGUCAUGCUGGAUGGUACAGGUCUAGAGCAAUGACUCUGUGUCAUAGCCUUUUGAGACUCAUUGAAAACCAAGGUCCUCCUUCCAGGAAAAUGUGCAUAUAAUUACUGACGUGAAUGUUUGAUUAAAGUUUCAGGAUGUUCAUGGAUUGUCUGAAGGCCUACUCUUGUGCCUCAGGUUCAGCAUCCCUAGAAAAUUAAGCCUGUGGUCGAAGAGAGGAGCCCCCUGGACAGAGGCUUUACUAUGGCCCAGCUGGACACUGCUGUGCGUCUUUUAACUGCUCGUUUGCAAGCCCAGUAAACAAGAGAAGUGAGAGUAGCCUCAAACAGGCUGAGAUGUCGUCCUCACCAGGCUUCUCAUUGGAGCCACCUGUGGUCUGCCUUGACUCGGGGUACCACCCCCAAGUAAUGUUGCCCAGGGCUCCCUGGCAGGGGCAAGGCAGGGACAUGUGGAAGCAGUAGACUGAGGACAUGUGGGCAGUUUAUUCUUUGAUGUCCUUGGAAGAGUGGUCACAGAUUGCAUGAUCUAAGUCAACAACCAGGACAGAUAACCCUCAGGAGAAUGAAGGUCAUUUCAACUAACAUGGAGUGAAACAAACACAACCAAACUGCCCUGCAGAAUAAAGGAUUUGGAGGAAGCAGGUGAAGAGCCCAGGAACAACAAAACAACAACGACGACAACAACAACAGCUUGGAAAGAAGUGCAAGGAGGAGGCAGAAAGACGGAUUCUGCCAAGAUGAGAAAAGGUAGGACCUGGAGGAGGAGAGAGCCUGGGAGACGUCCCUGGCAAUGGGCGCUGCUAAGAGACUGAAACAAAGGAAUGUCUAGUGUUCAACUUUAAGGGGUUUGCCAUUCGUGACUGCUGAAUCACUCGUAAAACUUUCCCACACAUAACUCCUUGCCGGGGUUAUCAGAGGAAAGGAUCGACCAUCUCUCGUGUGGAAUGCAGGGGUAAGGGAACAGGUGAAACAUGCCAAGUGAGACGAGCAAGAAUUUGGUGGAGGAAUCAGAGCAAAGGCAUCCAAUAGAGAUGUAUCCAAACACACACAUCCCCAGACGCCAGAGGGAGGAUGCCGGGUUUCCCCUUGCACCCAGGAUGAGUAUUCAAGUUAUUUUCAUUCAAGUACAACUUCUCAUCUUCAGGUAGAUUGGAGUCAAGGGGACAACCUGACACCAAAGACUCCUUGAUCUUUGUCCAUUUAGUUAGAUUAAGACUUAAAUCCUUUUUUUGGAAACAGGGCUAAAUGGGUUUCUUUUGAAGUUUUCAGAGUUUGUUAAGAAUGAAAGUAAUUCACAUUGGAAAAAGAAAAUCAUUUUCAGCAGAGCUCCUCUUCGGGAGAGUUCCAUAUAGAGUCAGAAGGAAUAAGCUGGUCUGCACUUUGGAGUAAUAAGAACUAACCUUAGCUGAGUACUUACGAUAUGGGAGGUCCUGUUCUGAGUCUUUUGCAAGUAUUAUAUCAUUUCAUUUUCACUAGAAUCUCUAUGAGGUAGAUGCCAUUAUUACCCCUACUUUAUAGAUGAGAAAACUGAGGCUCAUGGAGGUUGAACCAUUUGCUCAAAGUCACAGAAUUAGUGUGUGUUGGAGUUGGGGUUUUAUCCCCGAGUGUUGAAAAAUCCCCUGCAGGUAGAGGGCAGUGUAUGCUACUGGCAUCCAGUGGGUAGAUACCACAAAUACUGAUAAACAUUCUACUAUGCACAUGACAUCCCCCACAACAGAGAGUUAUCCAGACCCAAAUGUCAACUGCUUGUAAACCCCACACUAUGCCUCAGAUCAGUUAAGAGGUGUGUGUGUGUGUGUGUGUGUUUCGAUCCUUCCCCCUACAAAAGGCAUGAUGCACCAAUACUGUUGGUUACUUCCUUAAAAGAAGGUGGGCCAGGUUAAGUGCAGAGGGUUUGUUUUACUGAGAGGGCUAUGCAAAUUAGGAGCCAGAGCUGAAUUGUUUAGGACAAUAGAGGAGCAAAGGAGCAUUUUGUGCUAGAAGGGUGGCAGUGGAAAAAGGCCAUAGGUGAUGGUGAGAGAGAAGGCCACUGAGGAAGGACACAUCCAUGCAGUGGAGAUUUGGGACCAUUUUGCUGUAAGGGAUGCAUGUAAGCCUUGUCUUGCAGCUCUCCAGCAACACUUUAUUAAUCUGAAUUGCUUGAUAAUGUUUUGCACAAUGGAUUUUCUUUGGAAGGAAUGAAAAGAAAUGCAGAGGUACAUGCCCCUGACAUACACAUCACAGAGUAUAACAGGCUGCUUGCUCGUGGGGGUCAUGGAAGUUACACACCCCAGUCACUUCUAUAGCAUGCUUGAGAGGGUGACAACCACAGGUCAUCCAUAUCCCUAGCACUAUCUAUACAAUUCUGGACCAGCUCUUUCACUCCACAGCUACCUCCUGAUGACCCCAGAUUUCUGUCUCCAGCCCAGACCUCGCUUCUGAGCUGCAGACCUUUUAUCCAGCUUCUCCUGGAUAUCUCCACUGACUUCUCAAAAAUCAGCGUUUCCAAACCUCAACUCAUGACUUAUCCCUCUCUUCUUCCCCCUGAUUCCCGCCUUCCUGGUUGUUGGAAUUACCCUGCAAUUGUUUUUGAGUCAACAACCAUCAGAUUCCCAACUCUACCUCCCAACAUCUUCCCCAUCCAAUCACCUAAUCCCUCUCCAAAGUAUCCCUUGACUGUGGCCCCUUUCCCACCCACAAAUCCCACAAACGCAUGUCUGUUGUGAUUAAUAUUCAACAGCAAAGUGGAGGGGCUGAAACACAGUUCCUCCAAAUCAAUAUCUGGGGCUCUUUCUGCCUCCAGCUUUAUAAAUGACCCAGAAAAAAAAAGAACAAAUGUAAAUUCAUGGUGAGUGCUGAUGAUA
This is a long non-coding RNA of Leopardus geoffroyi (Geoffroy's cat), 3513 nucleotides long. RefSeq lists it as uncharacterized. Lineage: Eukaryota; Metazoa; Chordata; Mammalia; Carnivora; Felidae. The record is from RefSeq and is a predicted model, not a curated record. The transcript is spliced from 3 exons.